RNAcentral lists this ribosomal RNA (433 nucleotides) under uncultured bacterium. RNAcentral describes it as "partial 16S ribosomal RNA". It matches the Rfam family "Bacterial small subunit ribosomal RNA", at positions 29 to 507 of the family's 1533-position model. The record is from RNAcentral.
AACGAACGCUGGCGGCAUGCCUAACACAUGCAAGUCGAACGAGCCCUUCGGGUCUAUUCUCGUCCGACUUCGUCACCCGUCGGAAUCUUCACUUGUGUUCAGGAUAACUGUUGGAAACGACUACUAAUACCGGAUGAUGACUUCGGCCCAAUGAUUUAUUGCCCCGGGUUGUGCCCUCGUCGGAUUAGCUGGUUGUUUCGGUAAGAGCUCACUAAGGCGACGAUUCGUAGAUGGUCUGAGAGGAUGAUCAGCCACACUGGGAGUAGGACCCGGCCGAGACUCCUACGGGAGGGAGGAGUGGGGAAUAAUGGAAAAUCGGGGAAAGGCUGAUCGAGUAAUGACGGGUAAGUGAUGAAGGCCUUAGAGAUGAAAAGCUCAAUUAACCGGGAUGAUAAUGACAGUACCGGGAGAAUAAGCCACGGCUAACUCCGUG